Molecule: long non-coding RNA, 381 nt
Organism: Lonchura striata (white-rumped munia)
Lineage: Eukaryota; Metazoa; Chordata; Aves; Passeriformes; Estrildidae
Source: RefSeq, a predicted model, not a curated record
GGGCCUUUCCCAGCCCCGAGCGCAUCAGAAGGCAGCGGCGGGCAGUUGAAGAGAGAACAACCCGAUGGCUUAGAAAUCUCACGUUGUUCUUAACCGCUGUUUACAAAUUUUGGAGAGAGUUUCCAAGCAAAUUACAGCAUCAUCCUACGGCAAGCUGACAAAGAGGUUCCAGGAAUGCCACGCAUCUAGGAGGGAAAUACGAAUCCCUCUCUUUAGCCUGAAGCACGAAAUUGGCUUAAAGCUCAUUUUGCAGAUAACCAGAAACGAAAUCACCCGUGUGUGUACCAGGUAGCUACAACUUUAUGUCGCUCUGCAGCAAUUUCUAAGAAUUUCUGAAGGGAAAUAAAAACAAACAAACAACAGUAAAAAAAGUGAACCGCA